GCAUGAUCUAGGGCUGAAGCUGUCCGGGGUGUGGACCACCGUGGCUUCGACGGGUAGCCGGCCUGAGAGGGUGACCGGCCACAUUGGGACUGAGAUACGGCCCAGACUCCUACGGGAGGCAGCAGUGGGGAAUAUUGCACAAUGGGCGCAAGCCUGAUGCAGCGACGCCGCGUGAGGGAUGGAGGCCUUCGGGUUGUAAACCUCUUUUAUCGGGGAGCAAGCGAGAGUGAGUUUACCCGUUGAAUAAGCACCGGCUAACUACGUGCCAGCAGCCGCGGUAAUACGUAGGGUGCAAGCGUUAUCCGGAAUUAUUGGGCGUAAAGGGCUCGUAGGCGGUUCGUCGCGUCCGGUGUGAAAGUCCAUCGCUUAACGGUGGAUCCGCGCCGGGUACGGGCGGGCUUGAGUGCGGUAGGGGAGACUGGAAUUCCCGGUGUAACGGUGGAAUGUGUAGAUAUCGGGAAGAACACCAAUGGCGAAGGCAGGUCUCUGGGCCGUUACUGACGCUGAGGAGCGAAAGCGUGGGGAGCGAACAGGAUUAGAUACCCUGGUAGUCCACGCCGUAAACGGUGGAUGCUGGAUGUGGGGCCCGUUCCACGGGUUCCGUGUCGGAGCUAACGCGUUAAGCAUCCCGCCUGGGGAGUACGGCCGCAAGGCUAAAACUCAAAGAAAUUGACGGGGGCCCGCACAAGCGGCGGAGCAUGCGGAUUAAUUCGAUGCAACGCGAAGAACCUUACCUGGGCUUGACAUGUUCCCGACGGUCGUAGAGAUACGGCUUCCCUUCGGGGCGGGUUCACAGGUGGUGCAUGGUCGUCGUCAGCUCGUGUCGUGAGAUGCUGGGUUAAGUCCCGCAACGAGCGCANCCUCGCCCCGUGUUGCCAGCGGAUUAUGCCGGGAACUCACGGGGGAACCGCCGGGGUUAACUCGGAGGAGGGUGGGGAUGACGUCCGAUUCUCAUGCCCCUUACGUCCAGGGCUUCACGCUUGCUACAA
Molecule: ribosomal RNA, 989 nt
Filed under: human gut metagenome
Description: bacterial SSU rRNA
Rfam family: Bacterial small subunit ribosomal RNA
Source: RNAcentral